GACGGGGGGUGCAAGCGUUAUCCGGAUUCACUGGGAGUAGAGCGUCUGUGGGUGGUGAUGCAAGUCACUGGUGCAAAACUCUGGCUCAACCGGAGGAAAGCCAGUGAAACUGCAUGACUAGAGUGUGGGAGAGGUAGAAGGAAUUCCCUGAGUAGCGGUGAAAUGCGUAGAUACAGGGAAGAACACCGGAGGCGAAAGCGUUCUACUGGAACACAACUGACACUGAGAGACGAAAGCUAUGGGAGCGAAGGGG
This 253-nucleotide ribosomal RNA is filed under the name uncultured bacterium. Its description in RNAcentral is "partial 16S ribosomal RNA". It matches the Rfam family "Bacterial small subunit ribosomal RNA", at positions 524 to 776 of the family's 1533-position model. The record is from RNAcentral.